UGAACUGGUCGAAGGACCCAGGUUCAACUUAAUUAGGCGGGCAGACUGAUC
Molecule: non-coding RNA, 51 nt
Submitted as: unclassified sequences
Source: Rfam